Molecule: transfer RNA, 75 nt
Filed under: Candidatus Saccharimonadota bacterium
Lineage: Bacteria; Candidatus Saccharimonadota
Also listed under: 2 other names
Description: tRNA-Asn
Rfam family: tRNA
About the family: Transfer RNA (tRNA) molecules are approximately 80 nucleotides in length. Their secondary structure includes four short double-helical elements and three loops (D, anti-codon, and T loops). Further hydrogen bonds mediate the characteristic L-shaped molecular structure. tRNAs have two regions of fundamental functional importance: the anti-codon, which is responsible for specific mRNA codon recognition, and the 3' end, to which the tRNAs corresponding amino acid is attached (by aminoacyl-tRNA synthetases). tRNAs cope with the degeneracy of the genetic code in two manners: having more than one tRNA (with a specific anti-codon) for a particular amino acid; and 'wobble' base-pairing, i.e. permitting non-standard base-pairing at the 3rd anti-codon position.
Source: RNAcentral
UCCGGCAUAGCUCAGCGGUAGAGCGGUUGGCUGUUAACCAAUAGGUCGCUGGUUCGAGCCCAGCUGCCGGAGCCA